This 468-nucleotide ribosomal RNA is filed under the name uncultured bacterium. Its description in RNAcentral is "partial 16S ribosomal RNA". It matches the Rfam family "Bacterial small subunit ribosomal RNA", at positions 28 to 507 of the family's 1533-position model. The record is from RNAcentral.
GACGAACGCUGGCGGCGUGCUUAACACAUGCAAGUCGAACGGAAAGGCCCUGCUUUUGUGGGGUGCUCGAGUGGCGAACGGGUGAGUAACACGUGAGUAGCCUGCCCUUGACUUUGGGAUAACUUCAGGAAACUGGGGCUAAUACCGGAUAGGAGCUCCUGCUGCAUGGUGGGGGUUGGAAAGUUUCGGCGGUUGGGGAUGGACUCGCGGCUUAUCAGCUUGUUGGUGGGGUAGUGGCUUACCAAGGCUUUGACGGGUAGCCGGCCUGAGAGGGUGACCGGCCACAUUGGGACUGAGAUACGGCCCAGACUCCUACGGGAGGCAGCAGUGGGGAAUAUUGCACAAUGGGCGGAAGCCUGAUGCAGCAACGCCGCGUGCGGGAUGACGGCCUUCGGGCUGUAAACCGCUUUCGCCUGUGACGAAGCGUGAGUGACGGUAAUGGGUAAAGAAGCACCGGCUAACUACGUG